UCACCCGUAAGUCUUUUGUUUAUAUUUUCGAACAACCUAAUGAAGGCCAUGAUGAGGAUUUUUGUAAAUUUCAUCCAGUUAAAGUUUUAGAGACCAGCAUUAUCUUUUUUGAGGUAAGAACACGACUGGAUGAAUGCGUUGCAGCGAUAAGCAAUAUCAUUGUUUAGGGGGUUUAAUUUACAUAUUCACGGAUAUUAAAAUUUUUGUAGGUGGUGACUCUAGAAAUGAUAGGAGUAAGGAUAAAUAAGGAAUUGCAGGAUUAGGUUGGAGAGUUUUUUUUUUUAAGCACCGUCAAUAUUAAAAGAGAUAUAAUAACAAAAAUACCAGGAUAGCCCCAAAAGGAGGGUGAUUGGGUGAAGAA
Molecule: long non-coding RNA, 361 nt
Filed under: Elaeis guineensis (African oil palm)
Lineage: Eukaryota; Viridiplantae; Streptophyta; Magnoliopsida; Arecales; Arecaceae
Description: long non-coding RNA (EGUI_LNC006771)
Source: RNAcentral